Molecule: long non-coding RNA, 1643 nt
Filed under: Homo sapiens (human)
Lineage: Eukaryota; Metazoa; Chordata; Mammalia; Primates; Hominidae
Description: HSALNT0145556
Source: RNAcentral
CUGACAGUGCCCGAUCUCAAAGUCCAUGCCUACACGUCAGUCUCCCCACCCAUAAGAAGGACAUAAUGGAUCUGCUUGCAAAUCUGUACAUCGUGGGCCUGAGUGGAUCAAGAGAACACUAAGCUCAGGAAUUCAGGGAGCUGGGUGGGAAGGCUCACCUUUCGAGUGCGGAGGGUGACGGACGCCCCCCGUUCAAGCAGCAGCUCAGCCACCUCGAAGUGGCCACAGUUGAGGGCAUCGUGGAGGGGGGUGAUGCCUUCGCAGCCCUGGCCACCUGGGUCGUCCACUGCGGCCCCGUGGUCCAGCAGGAAGCGGACAAUUUCUGCAGACCAGGAGACGUAAGCCCAGCUCCCGAUGCCCCGCCAGGACUGACUCUUCGCCCCACGUGUCCACCAAGGUUCAAGCGAUUCUCCUGCCUCAGCCUCCCGAGUAGCUGGGACUACAGGGUCUCACUGUGUUGCCCAGGCUGGAGUGCAGUGGCAUGAUCGCGACUCCUGCAGCCUCAAUCUCCCUCCCAGGAUGAAGUGAUCCUCCUGCCUCUAGGACCACAGGUGGCCCUGAAGCUCCUCGUCCUCCUCCAGCUGCGGGGUCAGGCCAUCGGUGUCGUCCUCUGGAACAGAGCCAAGCCCACCCCAGGGGAGUCCGUGGGAGGUGAAGGAGGCCAAGGCCGCCCCAGGCUCCCUGCGGGUCACCACCUUCUCUGUCCAGUUCCGGGAAAGCACUGGCCGUCCUGCCUGCCUGUGGCUGUUCCUGCUACAGCCCUAAGCAGGCUCCACAGCAGCACAGCACACCCCUCUCCAGCCCGGCCCAGAGCAGGCCCAGGGAAAUGCAAGGUGCCGCUGGCCCUCACCGCCCUCUGAGAGCUCCACCUCGCCGGCCUCCAGGGCUUCGCUCUCCGCUGUGGCUGCCGCCUCCUCCGCCUCCUCCUCCUCAUCUUCAUCUUCAGCUACACUGAGCUCCCGUAGUCUGGUUUCGGUCUCAGGGGCCUCCUGGGGCUGCAGCCUCAGCUGCACGGUAUGGAGAUGCUGCAAGACCUGCCUCUGAGGAGCAGAGGGAUGCUCAGCUCAGGACUGGGGGCUGUGGACGCAGAGAAAGAUGGGGAUGGGGCACAAGGGGCAGGCAGGCUGCAACGAAGCUGGGCUCACCGGGGAGCCAGUAUGGGUGGGAUGGGCUCUCGCACCUGCAGCUGGGGACGCUGGGCCUGCUGGGCACAGCUGAGCGCUUUCUGGAAGCACGGGGCCAGCAGCUCGUAGGCAUCGCCGGCCUCCUCGCGGGACAGUGCAAUGUUCAGCCAGGUCUUGGCCUCCUGGAGCAGGAGGAAGGACAGGGUCGGGGGCUGCCGCUGUCUGCGUCCAACGGGCCCCAGUCAAGCUUCCCCGGCUGCCCAGACGAAAUGGGAGCCCGGCCUCCCAGCUGCCGAGGGUGGAUGGUCCUAGGAAGGAGCUGCCCGUCCAGUAAGGACACCUGUCCAUGGCCACCCUGAGAACGGCAGUCCUGAGGCAGAGACAUGGGUGAACCUGCAUUCGGGCGGGGAGCAAGGGUUUCACCUCCAGCACGUUGCCGCUGCGCAGCCUCAGUUCCUCCUCAUAGUGGCGCACGGCCCCAUGGUGGUCCUUCAUGUCUCCCAGUGUGGUGGCCAGGGA